UAGCAUAGAUCCAACGAAUCGAUGACUAAAUGAAUCGCAAACUACUUUUAUAAUCGAUUUAAUCGAUUAGUUGUUGCAGCCCUAGUUGAUAUCAACACUUCAGUCAUCAACAAUUGCAUCAUCAGAGAAAUGGACACUGAAACAGUGUAGGACUGACUUGGUAGGAUAUGUACAGCAAGGAGUGGUCAUAGAGAGAGAGAUCAGAAAGCAUAAGAAUAAGUAUCUACAUUUGAUUAUUUACAAUCCGGGGAGGUGGGAUGUGGAGGGGGGAGGGUGUUAGUUAAGGGUUGAAGUUGCCUGGAGGUGUUCUUUUAGUGCGGUUUUGAAGGAGGAUAGAGAUGCCCUUUCUUUUACACCUGUUGGGAGUGCAUUCCAUAUUGAUGUGGCAUAGAAGGAGAAUGAGUUAAGACCUUUGUUAGAUCGGAAUCUGGGUUUAACGUGGUUUAUGGAGCUCCCCCUGGUGUUGUGGUUAUGGCGGUCAUUUACGUUAAGGAAGUAGUUUGACAUGUACUUCGGUAUCAGGGAUGUGUAGCGUAGGCUGACCAUACGUCCUCUUUUCCCCGGACAUGUCCUCUUUUGCGGGGAUGUCCGGGGUGUCCGGGCGGGGUUUUUUAAAUGCCUCAAAUGUCCGGCAUUUUGAGUUAGGGUUGCGUGUACCGGGUAUUUUCAAUGUUCGUCCAGAGUUAAGAAGGGGUUAAACAAAACAAAGUGUGGAGGCGUGCGUGUAACACGGGUGGGAAAUAAGCCAUAUUUCCUCUCAUGGCAUCCCCUCAUAUUACCUGCGGCGUUUCCACGUGUAAUCUCACGAGUUUAACACGCGCGCUCACGUGACCCGCUGCAGCCUAUCGCGCUCUAUAUGAUCCACCGUCCCAAGAUGGCUGCCAGGUGCGGUGGCUAAGCCUGGGCACAUCUGAAGCCAGUAUGUUUUAAAGUUGUCGUUUGCCUGCAUAUCGUAAAAACAACCGUCCAACAUUUUACAACUAAUUGUAAACUUAUAGGUGCCGACCAUCAGGGCCGAGUUGCGGCGAGAGAGUGUUAUUAAGCCGAGUUGGCCAGGUCCCUAAGUCUUGGAUGGCGAGCUGUAGAUAGGCCUUGAGCCUGAGCCCAAGGAUCUCUACCUCUCAACCCCUGAACUCCACCUGCUCUGGUCGGGCCGGUAGGCGGCUUAUAGCCGAACCCCUUGCCUCGCACCUCAUUACUCUGCAGCCUUUUGCACUACCUCAUACACACCCUGCCCAUAAACUGAGCUGUCACUACAAACUGCCAUAUCCACAACCCCAACCCUGGGACCCCAUUUUGAAAAUUCCUAGCGCCAACACUGCUGUCAACAGAGGAGAAAAAUGCUUUAUUUAAAUAAAUAUAGUAUUUAUAAAGCAAGUUCGAGUAUCAUUGGCAAAUUUUCACCUAGUCCCCGCCUUGGCACGCAUAUAUGUCCUCUUUUUGGGAUUUCAGAAUAUGGUCAGCCUACAUGUACAAUCAUUUUUGAUCACCCUCUGUGUCAAUCAUAUCUAACAUAAUAUACUACAAAUAUAACAUUUGUCUUCUGGAUGUGGUCCUGUGGUGUCCACAUGUUUCCAACGAUAGAGGCAUUCAUAAAACUUUUUAAUGGCAUCUGGCACUUUGGUGAGAUGUUUUCUUCACAGAUGAAUCCAUGUUUUCACUGUUGAGGGCAGAUGACAGACAGCAUAUAGGCCGGCGUGGGUUACUGUCUACUGGUACAGUAGACAAAUGUUACGGGCAAUGAUCAUUUGGAAAGCACAGAGAUACCAUGAAACCCACUGUUGUGCCAUUCAUCCAUGACCUACCAUGAAUUGAUUAACGUGGACCCCGACUUAAACAAGUUGAAAAACUUAUUCGGGUGUUACCAUUUUGUGGUCAAUUGUACGGAAUAUGUACUGUACUGUGCAAUCUACUAAUAAAAGUUUCAAUCAAUCAAUCAAAAACCAUCACCUCAUGUUUGCAGCAUGAUGAUGCACAGCCCCAUGUUGCAAGGAUCUGUAAACUAUUCUUGCAUGGUAGCUAAAAAACAUCCCAGUUCUUGCAUGCAGUGUAUCACCGGACAUGUCAUCCAAUGAGCCAUGGUUAGUGUCUUCUUUUUAUUCCUAUAAAACAGGUCGGUAAAGUGUGAUAAUAUUAACACAUAUGUCUCCAAGCAAUUAUAAGCGUUUCUGAAUAUAUGAAUAUUGAAGUAUGUUGUUUAAAAGUGUGUAUUUGUGCUGAAAUUUGUAACGUUCAAUAAGCGAUGUCUCCCUUUGUGUGCGAGCGCAUGGUUGGGCGGGAAUGGCGGCGGCAGUGGACUUGUUGAAGAUAAUUUCUGUGAUUGUUAAGAAGUUUUAUAGGUAUAGUCAGGUAACAAUAUGUGUAAUUGUAAUUGGUUUAUAAUGACAGUGACAAUAUAGAAACAAGCGUUCAAGAAAGCAGCGAUAUUAUAAAGAAGCAAUGUCAGGAUACAGUACAAACAUGUAAGAUGAAGAAGUUUAUUAAAGCAACAGUACCGUUACGUGAUGCUUAUACACAGGAAAGAUAGUGUUGGGGUAUGUAACGAUCAAUCCUCCAUGUUUUUGUGGAUUUGUUUUAUCAUUUCAAAAGUAAAGAUGUAAUUGUUUAACGAUGUGAAUGAACAAAUGUAGAAUUGAAAUUACAUUAUCGAAACCAUUUGGGUGUGAUUAAAAGCACAAUAGAAAUGCAAAUGAGAGUAAAGAAAUCAAGAAAUGUUUAAUAAAAGAGUCAGGUCAUACCCUGCAAUGACAACGCAA
Entelurus aequoreus (snake pipefish) is the source of this 2756-nucleotide long non-coding RNA. RefSeq lists it as uncharacterized. The transcript has 2 exons. The record is from RefSeq and is a predicted model, not a curated record. Lineage: Eukaryota; Metazoa; Chordata; Actinopteri; Syngnathiformes; Syngnathidae.